RNAcentral lists this long non-coding RNA (719 nucleotides) under Triticum aestivum (bread wheat). RNAcentral describes it as "long non-coding RNA (TAES_LNC003356)". The record is from RNAcentral. Lineage: Eukaryota; Viridiplantae; Streptophyta; Magnoliopsida; Poales; Poaceae.
AGAAAUACUAUACCUACGGAACAUUUGUCAAAUACAGUACAUGGAAAAUGGUGCUUUUGAAAUGCUUAAAGACCUUAAUACAUGUUGCAGGUCAUCACUAGGCAAUGACACUUAAAGAAGUGCAGGGUUCUAGAAGUACAUUAAGCGAAAAGUAUAAAACAAACCAGCAUUUGAUCUUUUGUCAACAUCGAUUAAUAGAAAACAGAAACAGUAUUUUACUGUGUUGAAGCACUGCGUUAAAAACGCAUUCACAUUCACAGAAACAAAUUUAUUCUGCUCGGGACAACAAGCAAACUGCAGGCAAAGGACCCAUGAGACUAGUCUCAACUACACACUGCAACAGGUGAAAAAUGAUGCAUCUUGAAGAGUUCUAGUUUCAUGACUUCACUUGCGGAGGAGAGUCGCCCUGCAGAGCUGGAUCUGAUUUGAUGGCAUCUAAUGUCUUGAAGAACUCCUCAGGUAGUGCAACGGGCCGGUGCUGCGGAACAUGCUUGGGAAUAGGUGUGUCAUCUUCAAUCACCUCGCAUUCGUAGUCAUCAGGAACACCCCAGGGAUCCCACUCUGCAAUGCAUUGCAACAUAUAGUAAUUAAAAUAGAACUGAUACUGAAAGCUUUUGUAUCAAUUAGAGAUUCUCAUACUGGAGACAAUAGCCUAAAAAACAGCAUUUCGGGCAUAGGCACAGUCUGAGAUCUUAACCCAAAAGAAAUGGAAGAUGGGU